UGGGGAAUAUUGCCCAAUGGGCGCAAGCCUGAUGCAGCCAUGCCGCGUGUAUGAAGAAGGCCUUCGGGUUGUAAAGUACUUUCAGCGGGGAGGAAGGCGAUAAGGUUAAUAACCUUGUCGAUUGACGUUACCCGCAGAAGAAGCACCGGCUAACUCCGUGCCAGCAGCCGCGGUAAUACGGAGGGUGCAAGCGUUAAUCGGAAUGACUGGGCGUAAAGCGCACGCAGGCGGUCUGUCAAGUCGGAUGUGAAAUCCCCGGGCUCAACCUGGGAACUGCAUUCGAAACUGGCAGGCUAGAGUCUUGUAGAGGGGGGUAGAAUUCCAGG
This 326-nucleotide ribosomal RNA is filed under the name uncultured bacterium. RNAcentral describes it as "partial 16S ribosomal RNA". It matches the Rfam family "Bacterial small subunit ribosomal RNA", at positions 355 to 673 of the family's 1533-position model. The record is from RNAcentral.